Molecule: non-coding RNA, 902 nt
Organism: Coturnix japonica (Japanese quail)
Lineage: Eukaryota; Metazoa; Chordata; Aves; Galliformes; Phasianidae
Source: RefSeq, a predicted model, not a curated record
GGCCUGCCCAUUGGACUCCAUGCCCUGGGAUUUCACAACAAGGUGGUGCUUCUGGGGUUUUGUGUGUCAGAGCAAUUCUGAGUCGAAGGAUGAGGAAAUCACCAGCACUGGUUGAGGCAUUAGAGAAGGAAACAGACCAGAGCCUUCUGUAGCUGCAUAAGCCAGCAGUAAAACCAGAGAAUUACACAAGCAUUGCACAAGGGAGACCUGACUGGAAGUGUUGCCUCUGGCUCACAUUCCUUUUAAGCUGCUAUAAAACUUUAAAUAUAAUUAAUAAAUAACUAGGCCUCUCAAGCAGAGAUGAGCCCAAAGCUCUGCCCCUUGCAUGAACCGAGUUUGUUAUUUCAGCUCUUGAUAUAAAAGUACAGAAUAUCACUGUGUGCUAUAAUGAGGCUUUCAGCUGUGUACUUGCUACUGGAGGUGAGCCAGGCAGGACUGGCUGUAUUGCUGCAGCAAGAAAAAUAUAAACCUAGGCAGCCUAAAGAAGAAAGUUGCCUAAAGCCUAAUCCUGAGGUGAGAAGGCAUCGGCAUCUUAUAGGCUUCUAUUGUUUCUUCCCCCCUCUGACACUGCUUAAGCCAUUUUGAACCUCAGCCCAUGGAAGAGGAGGAUGAAAUUUUCAUCGGCGCUAUGAUGACUCACAAGCUCCAAACCAAGAAAAAAAGGAGAAGAAAUAAUCACCAGGGAAAGGUAAUGCUCAAACAAACAAACAAAGAAGUGGAAGUGCUGCAGCUCUACCAGGCUGAAAGAAUGAGUGUAUAUCCUGUGAUGCUCUUGGCUAUGUGACAGUGUUUUCCUUCUGUGUUUCUGUCUCAGUAAAAUUAGAGGCGUAUGCUUGGAGCCUGGGAGAUGUGAGCUCGGGGGGUUGGAGCUACAUGAUCCUUGAGGUCCCUUCCAACCCGGG